GGCCUGGAACUGUGAGUCGCGACAGAGGCAAAACGAACUCGUUAUAUAAAAUGACAUUCGCGCUGCAUUUCUUACAUUUCCCGGCCUCUUCCAUGGGGAAGCUAUCACUUCUCCUUCUCGUCUCCAUCUUUCUCCUUCUCAGCUUUCCAACUGAAGCAAGUGUGGAGAAGGAGAAGACAUUGGCAAUUAUAAAACCGGAUGGUUUAUUUGGUAACUAUACAGACAAGAUAAAGACAAUUAUUCUGGAAUCUGGGUUCAGUAUCCUUAGAGAGAUGACGCUUCAACUCAAUGAAAGUGAUGUGGCACUCUUUUAUGCGGAGCAUUCUGGGAGGAGCUUCUUUCCUAGCAUUGUUAAUUACAUGACAAGUUAUAUUCUCAGUCAUUUCAAAAGCUACACUGAACAAAAGGAAGAAAAAAGAAGAAGAAGAAGGAUUUGGCCGUAUGAUGUCUCAAACGUGGACAGCCCAGUGUCUAUUAUGGUUCUGGAAAAGGCGAAUGCUAUUGUUGAUUGGCGUGUUUUGAUUGGACCAACGGAUGCAAGAAAAGCCAGACUAUCACAUCCUGGAAGCAUUAGGGCCAUGUGGGGUCAGAUUUAGAAAGGAAUUGUGUUCAUGGUUCUGAUUCUCCUCAAUCUGCUGCACGGGAGAUUACAUUUUUCUUUGGAGAGAUGUCAUCUGGAGAAAAUGUUGCUGUACAUGAUGAGCUUUAGAAGGUAAAAUAUCAAACACGACACACUGUAUUGAUUUGCAUCAACCCAUCUGUUUUUACCCAUCACUAGAUCAUGCCACUCUGCCUGGCACAGUUGCACAGUGCACUGCCACCAUAUAAACUGAUCACAACUAUGAAAUUGUAAGGAAAUAGAAAUCAUGGGGCUUGAAACUUGCUUGGUUUGUUAGGCUAGUCUAUAUGAUUUUUUUUAUUAUCUAAUUGGAUUGUGUUGUAACCAUAGACAUUCUUUCUUCUAGCAUGUACAUUCGUUGGUUGGUUGUUUCCA
This is an RNA transcript of Magnolia sinica, 994 nucleotides long. It is a transcript of the gene named probable nucleoside diphosphate kinase 5, with no coding region annotated. The transcript has 6 exons. The record is from RefSeq and is a predicted model, not a curated record. NCBI's taxonomy places the organism in Eukaryota, Viridiplantae, Streptophyta, Magnoliopsida, Magnoliales, Magnoliaceae.